Non-coding RNA from Oncorhynchus mykiss (rainbow trout), 1344 nucleotides. NCBI's taxonomy places the organism in Eukaryota, Metazoa, Chordata, Actinopteri, Salmoniformes, Salmonidae. The record is from RefSeq and is a predicted model, not a curated record.
GAGGGCACCGUAUCUCAAGACAUGACUGGAGAGAACAACUGUUUGGAGAACUGUACCUAGUCAAUGCACUUUGCUGUUUACAGUAUGCAACUUGCUACUAUGAGUUCAGAUUCGGUUAUAUUGUUGCAGACGGUGACAUUUUCUGCUGAAAACCACCAAGAUCAACGGAUUAAAGAGCCCAAAGAAACCAACUAUCCAAUAGGUACCGUAGCCUCUCCCUAUUACCUAUCAAUGAUGUAGCUAUAUAAAAAUCAUUGGUACUAAUGUGGUGGAAAAGUGGAUUUUUUAAAGCAAAUACCAAGUUGGCAGCAUCCAGCACUCACCAUGUUUCUUUCCUUUAUCCUGAAGAUCCUCUUUUGACCAUUUAGAUGCACCAGGUGUGGACCAAAGACUCAAAAGAAAGGAAAACAAACACAAAACACAAAGGAGAGGACGAAAGAGGUGUCCGGUGGAUGGCUGUCAAGUCACCGUCAUUCACCUACCUCGUCACCUGCGGCAGGUCCAUGAGUGGGGCAGAGAGGAGGCCCAGUCUGCAGUCAACACAUUUGGUCUCGGAGCACCAAGCAGACAUGGUGACAGCAGCUGCAAGGCUAAAAACAACCAUCACUCCAGGCCUUGCCCCAUGACAGGCUGUCAUGAAUUUGUCAAAAGACUGCCAGCCCACCUGAGAAAGCAACACAAGCUUGAAAAUAACUCUCCUCUAUACAGAGAGCUUCUUACAGCAUCACAGAAGAGAAGGUCAAAUGUCAAUGAAUGAAUGUUAUGAUGUUUACUGUGAAUAAUUAUUCUAGCUGAUGUAUUGAAGUUGAAUGAGAAAUAUGUAAUUGAAUUGGGACAUGAUUGAACAAGACAAUAUUUGGGAAAGGAAUAAAGAAUGCGCUUGAACUGCCACACAGCAGGCCGACUCAGACAUCCUUUCUGAGGCUUGUAACAGAUACAGCAUAGAAAGACCAGCAUCAAUUCAUAUCCGAAGUGGUCACACUCAUUUACACACAGACCUUUUUUGUAGGAUGUAAACCUUAUGUAUGUCCAGUGGUGUAAAGUACUUUAGUAAAAAUACUUUAAAGUACUACUUAAGUCGUUUUUGGGGUAUCUGUACUUAACUUUAUUAUUUAUAUUUUUGAAGACUUUUACUCCAAUACAUUUCCCUGACACCCAAAAGUACUCGUUGAAUGCUUAGCAGGACAGGAAAAUUGUCUAAUUCACACACUUAUCAAGAGAACAUCCCUGGUCAUCCCUACUGCCUCUGAUCUGGCAGACUCACUAAACACAAAUGCUUAGUUUGUAAAUUAUGUCUGACUGUUGAAGUGUGCCUCUGGCUUUCCGUAUAAAAAAUAUAAAAAA